Molecule: ribosomal RNA, 253 nt
Filed under: uncultured bacterium
Lineage: Bacteria
Description: partial 16S ribosomal RNA
Rfam family: Bacterial small subunit ribosomal RNA
Source: RNAcentral
UACGAAGGGAGCUAGCGUUGUUCGGAAUCACUGGGCGUAAAGCGCACGUAGGCGGUUGUGUCAGUCAGGGGUGAAAUCCCGGAGCUCAACUUCGGAACUGCCUCUGAUACAGCACGUCUUGAGUCCGAUAGAGGUGGGUGGAAUUCCUAGUGUAGAGGUGAAAUUCGUAGAUAUUAGGAAGAACACCGGUGGCGAAGGCGGCCCACUGGAUCGGUACUGACGCUGAGGUGCGAAAGCGUGGGGAGCAAACAGG